UACUAUUAAACUGCUCUCAAAUGAGCUCAAAUGUAUUGCUGUAACUCCAACAAAAUGGUACCAAAAGCAUAAGUUCUUCAUAAGUUUGGCAACAUCAAUACAUCAACAAAAGACCUAAAUUAACAUUAUCCCUACACAUCAAUAUUGUUCAAUAUUACAUAGACAAAAAAUUAAAACAGUUCAGUUUUAGAACUACUUCUUGGUUGUUGAUGAUGAAGUAUUCACUUUAUUCCUUUUGUUGGCCUUCAUUUAUAGCAAUUGGGAGGUGGUGACUGCAUCUUUUCCCUUCCAUUUCAGUCCUCGUGGAACAAAAUAAUUAUUGGUUGGUGGGACACUCUUCACAGUUGAGAAUCUUUGUAUAACUCUCUCACCUGAGGUACCAGGCUAAAAUAAAAACAAGGCAAAAGAAUUAUUAAUAGUAUACCAAAUAUAGUAACUAUUUGUUCAUAACUACCUUUGGAUAAUGCAACAAAUUCUCACAUAUUUCUUUCUUACCUAAUUUACUCAAUGCUUCCAGCUCCUCAAUUGAAAAUCUCCAGAAUUGCUUUCUUCUAGCUUUUCCUCUCCAUUUGAUAUGUCAGUUACUCAAGAUAUGCCUAGCACACAUUCUUUGCUCUAUAUCUGGCAAUAACCCAU
This 636-nucleotide long non-coding RNA is filed under the name Nicotiana benthamiana. Its description in RNAcentral is "long non-coding RNA (NBEN_LNC038520)". Lineage: Eukaryota; Viridiplantae; Streptophyta; Magnoliopsida; Solanales; Solanaceae. The record is from RNAcentral.